UGUGGUGGUGCGGGGCAUGGCGUCGGAGGUCCAGGCCCAGCAAGUGGACCUCAAGGCCCAAGACAAGACGAGCUUGAAAACGUUCUCAAUCUACCGGUGGAACCCAGAAAACCCGAAGAAGCCGGAGCUCCGUGAGUACGAGAUCGACCUCAAGGAGUGUGGGCCCAUGGUGCUCGACGCCCUCAUUAAGAUCAAGAACGAGAUGGACCCCAGCCUCACCUUCCGUCGAUCUUGCCGUGAAGGGAUCUGCGGCUCCUGCGCCAUGAACAUCGACGGCUGUAACGGGCUCGCUUGCUUGACGAAGAUAGCGCCGUCGUCUUCCGUCGGAGCGACGACGAUAACGCCGUUGCCGC
This 353-nucleotide long non-coding RNA is filed under the name Prunus persica (peach). RNAcentral's name for it is "long non-coding RNA (PPER_LNC003930)". The record is from RNAcentral. Lineage: Eukaryota; Viridiplantae; Streptophyta; Magnoliopsida; Rosales; Rosaceae.